Populus euphratica (Euphrates poplar) is the source of this 376-nucleotide long non-coding RNA. RefSeq lists it as uncharacterized. The transcript is spliced from 2 exons. Lineage: Eukaryota; Viridiplantae; Streptophyta; Magnoliopsida; Malpighiales; Salicaceae. The record is from RefSeq and is a predicted model, not a curated record.
AGUUGUCUUUGGAAUUCCAUGGUUCUUCACCUGACAGUUUAACAUUAAAUUUUUUGUUAGAACUAGCUAGAUUAUUUUCAUACAUAACAGAAUAUUAUAUACCAAGCUACAACUACAGCUUAAAUAAAGAAAAAAAUUAGCAGCUAGAACCGCAGGUCGCUGGAGAGACAAAGCUGUUGGGAAAGGUCACCAAAAACACUGCAAACAACGUAUUUCUCUACCCUGGAGAAUUCAUAUAAUAGAAGCUAGAUUUCCUGGUGUGAUUCGUUUUCUUUUUCUUCUUUUCUCAUUUUCUGGGCACGCCGCUAAUGAUUUUCUUCAAUUUGAUGUGCUUCUCACGGUGCUAGAUCUAAUUUUUAAUGCAAUGAAUCCAUUU